UGGUGGAGCGAUUUGUCUGGUUAAUUCCGAUAACGAACGAGACUCUAGCCUAUUAAAUAGUUCGCCCGUUCCAAAAUGGCGGGCGCUGACUUCUUAGAGGGACAAGUGGCUCUUAGCCACGCGAGAUUGAGCAAUAACA
Molecule: ribosomal RNA, 139 nt
Filed under: uncultured eukaryote
Lineage: Eukaryota
Description: partial 18S ribosomal RNA
Rfam family: Eukaryotic small subunit ribosomal RNA
Source: RNAcentral